UACGUAGGUGGCAAGCGUUGUCCGGAUUUACUGGGCGUAAAGAGCGCGCAGGCGGUCAAAUAAGUCGAAUGUGAAAGCCCCCGGCUCAACUGGGGAGGGUCAUUCGAUACUGUUCGACUCGAAGGCAGGAGAGGGAAGCGGAAUUCCCGGUGUAGUGGUGAAAUGCGUAGAUAUCGGGAGGAACACCAGUGGCGAAGGCGGCUUUCUGGCCUGUUCUUGACGCUGAGGUACGAAAGCGUGGGUAGCAAACAGG
RNAcentral lists this ribosomal RNA (253 nucleotides) under uncultured bacterium. RNAcentral describes it as "partial 16S ribosomal RNA". It matches the Rfam family "Bacterial small subunit ribosomal RNA", at positions 524 to 776 of the family's 1533-position model. The record is from RNAcentral.